RNAcentral lists this ribosomal RNA (375 nucleotides) under uncultured organism. Its description in RNAcentral is "partial 16S ribosomal RNA". It matches the Rfam family "Bacterial small subunit ribosomal RNA", at positions 527 to 897 of the family's 1533-position model. The record is from RNAcentral.
GUAGGUGGCAAGCGUUGUCCGGAAUUAUUGGGGCGUAAAGCGCGCGCAGGCGGUUCUUUAAGUCUGAUGUGAAAGCCCACGGGCUCAGCCGUGGAGGGUCAUUGGAAACUGGAGAACUUGAGUACAGAAGAGGAAAGCGGAAUUCCACGUGUAGCGGUGAAAUGCGUAGAGAUGUGGAGGAACACCAGUGGCGAAGGCGGCUUUCUGGUCUGUAACUGACGCUGAGGCGCGAGAGCGUGGGGAGCAAACAGGAUUAGAUACCCUGGUAGUCCACGCCGUAAACGAUGAGUGCUAAGUGUUAGGGGGUUUCCGCCCCUUAGUGCUGCAGCUAACGCAUUAAGCACUCCGCCUGGGGAGUACGGCCGCAAAGGCUGA